GUAGGUGGCAAGCGUUGUCCGGAAUUAUUGGGCGUAAAGCGCGCGCAGGCGGUCCUUUAAGGUCUGAUGUGAAAGUCCCACGGGCUCAACCGUGGAGGGUCAUUGGAAACUGGGGGACUUGAGUACAGAAGAGGAAAGCGGAAUUCCAAGUGUAGCGGUGAAAUGCGUAGAGAUUUGGAGGAACACCAGUGGCGAAGGCGGCUUUCUGGUCUGUAACUGACGCUGAGGCGCGAAAGCGUGGGGAGCAAACAGGAUUAGAUACCCUGGUAGUCCACGCCGUAAACGAUGAGUGCUAAGUGUUAGGGGGUUUCCGCCCCUUAGUGCUGCAGCUAACGCAUUAAGCACUCCGCCUGGGGAGUACGGCCGCAAAGGCUGA
RNAcentral lists this ribosomal RNA (376 nucleotides) under uncultured organism. Its description in RNAcentral is "partial 16S ribosomal RNA". It matches the Rfam family "Bacterial small subunit ribosomal RNA", at positions 527 to 897 of the family's 1533-position model. The record is from RNAcentral.